This is a small nuclear RNA of Rattus norvegicus (Norway rat), 160 nucleotides long. Ensembl annotates it as RNA, U1 small nuclear 80. Its record names the gene Rnu1-80. The record is from Ensembl. NCBI's taxonomy places the organism in Eukaryota, Metazoa, Chordata, Mammalia, Rodentia, Muridae.
CCACUGCAGGGGGAGAUACCAUGACCAUGAAGUGGUUUUCCCAGGGUGAGGCUCACCCAUUGCUUUUGGGGUGUGCUGAUCCCUGUGAUUUCCCCAAAUGCAAGGAAACUCGACUGCAUAAUUUGUGGCAGUAGGGGAGCUGCGUCCAAGUGCUCCCCUG